Molecule: ribosomal RNA, 577 nt
Filed under: uncultured bacterium
Lineage: Bacteria
Description: partial 16S ribosomal RNA
Rfam family: Bacterial small subunit ribosomal RNA
Source: RNAcentral
UAGGGAAUCUUCCACAAUGGGCGAAAGCCUGAUGGAGCAACGCCGCGUGAGUGAGGAAGGCUUUCGGGUCGUAAAGCUCUGUUGCCAGGGAAGAAUAAGGAUCAUUUAACUGAUGAUCCGAUGACGGUACCUGAGAAGAAAGCCCCGGCUAACUACGUGCCAGCAGCCGCGGUAAUACGUAGGGGGCAAGCGUUGUCCGGAAUUAUUGGGCGUAAAGCGCGCGCAGGCGGCUCUUUAAGUCUGGUGUUUAAGUGCGGGGCUCAACCCCGUGACGCACUGGAAACUGGGGAGCUUGAGUGCAGAAGAGGAGAGCGGAAUUCCACGUGUAGCGGUGAAAUGCGUAGAGAUGUGGAGGAACACCAGUGGCGAAGGCGGCUCUCUGGACUGUAACUGACGCUGAGGCGCGAAAGCGUGGGGAGCAAACAGGAUUAGAUACCCUGGUAGUCCACGCCGUAAACGAUGAGUGCUAGGUGUUGGGGGUAUCAUGCCCUCGGUGCCGAAGUUAACACAUUAAGCACUCCGCCUGGGGAGUACGGUCGCAAGACUGAAACUUAAAUGAAUUGACGGGGUCAUAGCU